RNAcentral lists this ribosomal RNA (406 nucleotides) under uncultured bacterium. Its description in RNAcentral is "partial 16S ribosomal RNA". It matches the Rfam family "Bacterial small subunit ribosomal RNA", at positions 30 to 526 of the family's 1533-position model. The record is from RNAcentral.
AUUGAACGCUGGCGGCAGGCCUAACACAUGCAAGUCGAACGAGUGGCGGACGGGUGAGUAAUGUCUGGGAAACUGCCUGAUGGAGGGGGAUAACUACUGGAAACGGUAGCUAAUACCGCAUACCAUCAGAUGUGCCCAGAUGGGAUUAGCUAGUUGGUGGGGUAACGGCUCACCAAGGAAACGUUCCCUAGCUGGUCUGAGCGGAGUACCAGACAACCGGGAACUGAGACACGGUCCAGACUCCUACGGGAGGCAGCGGUGGGGAUAAUUGCACAAGGUGCGCAGGCCUGAUGCAGCCAUGCCGCGUGUAUGAAGAAGGCCUUCGGGUUGUAAAGUACUUUCAGCGGGGAGGCGUUACCCGCAGAAGAAGCACCGGCUAACUCCGUGCCAGCCGCCGCGGUAAUAC